GGAGCCGUAGCGAAAGCGAGUUUUAACUGAGCGUUCAGUUACUUGACGUAGACCCGAAACCGGGCGACCUACCCAUGAGCAGGAUGAAGCGAAAGUAAAAUUUCGUGGAGGUCCGAACCCACGAGCGUUGAAAAGCUCGGGGAUGACUUGUGGGUAGCGGUGAAAUUCCAAUCGAGCCCGGAGAUAGCUGGUUCUCCCCGAAAUAGCUUUAGGGCUAGCCUCAAGGUGAGAGAUACGGAGGUAGAGCACUGAAUGUCCUAGGGGGUAUUGCACCUACCGAAGACUAUCAAACUCCGAAUGCCGUCAUCUUAUACUUGGGAGUCAGACUGUGGGUGAUAAGAUUCAUAGUCGAAAGGGCAACAGCCCAGAUCGUCAGCUAAGGUCCCUAAAUGUAAGUUAAGUGGUAAAGGAUGUGGGAUUGCACAGACAACCAGGAUGUUGGCUUAGAAGCAGCCACUCAUUCAAAGAGUGCGUAAUAGCUCACUGGUCGAGUGAUCCUGCGCCGAAGAUUUCCGGGGCUAAAACUUACUACCGAAGCUACGGCAUCAGUAAUGAUGGGUAGGGGAGCUUCCCAUACGGGUUGAAGCAUGACCGUAAGGACAUGUGGACAGUAUGGGAGUGAGAAUGUUGGCAUGAGUAGCGAGAUGUGGGUGAGAAUCCCACAGGCCGUAAACCCAAGGUUUCCAGGGGAAGGUUCGUCCGCCCUGGGUUAGUCGGGACCUAAGCUGAGGCCGAAAGGCGUAGGUGAUGGACAACAGGUUGAUAUUCCUGUACUACCGAUAACCGUUUGAGAGAAGGGAUGACACAGUAGGAUAAGCUAAGCACACUGUUGGUUAUGUGUGCCCAAGCAUUGAGGCAGUCAAAGUAGGCAAAUCCGCUUUGAUAAUGCUGGGAUGUGAUGGGGAGCGAAAUUUAGUAGCGAAGUAGCUGAUUUCACACUGUCAAGAAAAGUCUCUAUCGAGGUUAAAGGUACCCGUACCGCAAACCGACACAGGUGGGUGAGGAGAGUAUCCUAAGGCCAGCGAGAGAACUGUUGUUAAGGAACUCGGCAAAAUGACCCCGUAACUUAGGGAUAAGGGGUGCCACCAUCAGGUGGCCGCAGAGAAUAGGCCCAAGCGACUGUUUACCAAAAACAUAGGUUUCUGCUAAGUCGCAAGACGAUGUAUAGGAGCUGACGCCUGCCCGGUGCUGGAAGGUUAAGGGGAUCUGUUAGAGCAAUCGAAGCAGUGAACUUAAGCCCCAGUAAACGGCGGCCGUAACUAUAACGGUCCUAAGGUAGCGAAAUUCCUUGUCGGGUAAGUUCCGACCCGCACGAAAGGCGUAACGAUUUGGGCACUGUCUCAACAACAGACUCGGUGAAAUUGUAAUUCCGGUGAAGAUGCCGGAUACCUGCGACAGGACGGAAAGACCCCAUGGAGCUUUACUGUAGCUUGACAUUGGGUCUUGGUACUACAUGUACAGGAUAGGUGGGAGGCUUUGAAACCAGGACGCCAGUUUUGGCGGAGCCAUCCUUGGGAUACCACCCUUGUAGUACUGGGACUCUAACCAUAGGCCAUGAAUCUGGUCUUGGGACACUGUCAGGUGGGCAGUUUGACUGGGGCGGUCGCCUCCCAAAAGGUAACGGAGGCGCUCAAAGGUUCUCUCAGUACGGUCGGAAAUCGUACGUAGAGUGUAAAGGCAAAAGAGAGCUUGAUUGCAAGACAUACAGGUCGAGCAAGGAUGAAAAUCGGACUUAGUGAUCCGGUGGUUCUGCGUGGAAGGGCCAUCGCUCAACGGAUAAAAGCUACCCUGGGGAUAACAGGCUUAUCUCCCCCAAGAGUCCACAUCGACGGGGAGGUUUGGCACCUCGAUGUCGGCUCAUCACAUCCUGGGGCUGUAGUAGGUCCCAAGGGUUGGGCUGUUCGCCCAUUAAAGUGGUACGCGAGCUGGGUUCAGAACGUCGUGAGACAGUUCGGUCCCUAUCCGUCGCAGGCGUAGGAAAUUUGAGAAGACCUGUCCUUAGUACGAGAGGACCGGGAUGGACGUACCUCUGGUGUACCAGUUGUCCUGCCAAGGGCAUGGCUGGGUAGCUAUGUACGGAAUGGAUAAGCGCUGAAAGCAUCUAAGCGCGAAGCCAACUUCAAGAUAAGAUUUCCCACCGCAAGGGUAAGACCCCAGAAAGACUAUCUGGUUGAUAGGUCGAAGGUGUAAGUGCAGCAAUGUAUUUAGCUUAUCGA
RNAcentral lists this ribosomal RNA (2216 nucleotides) under Clostridioides difficile. RNAcentral's name for it is "partial 23S ribosomal RNA". It matches the Rfam family "Bacterial large subunit ribosomal RNA", at positions 662 to 2898 of the family's 2925-position model. Lineage: Bacteria; Bacillati; Bacillota; Clostridia; Peptostreptococcales; Peptostreptococcaceae. The record is from RNAcentral.